UCGGGAAUUUUGGGCAAUGGGCGAAAGCCUGACCCAGCAACGCCGCGUGAAGGAUGAAGCAUUUCGGUAUGUAAACUUCGAAAGAAUAGGAAGAAUAAAUGACGGUACUAUUUAUAAGGUCCGGCUAACUACGUGCCAGCAGCCGCGGUAAUACGUAGGGACCAAGCGUUGUUCGGAUUUACUGGGCGUAAAGGGCGCGUAGGCGGCAAUUCAAGUCAUCUGUGAAAUCUCCGGGCUUAACUCGGAACGGUCAGAUGAUACUGCUUUGCUAGAGUGCAGAAGGGGCAAUCGGAAUUCUUGGUGUAGCGGUGAAAUGCGUAGAUAUCAAGAGGAACACCUGAGGUGAAGACGGGUUGCUGGGCUGACACUGACGCUGAGGCGCGAAAGCCAGGGGAGCAAACGGGAUUAGAUACCCUAGAGUCCCUGAGCGGGCUGGCAAGGCGCAU
RNAcentral lists this ribosomal RNA (446 nucleotides) under uncultured bacterium. Its description in RNAcentral is "bacterial SSU rRNA". It matches the Rfam family "Bacterial small subunit ribosomal RNA", at positions 355 to 825 of the family's 1533-position model. The record is from RNAcentral.